Molecule: non-coding RNA, 28 nt
Filed under: Cricetulus griseus (Chinese hamster)
Lineage: Eukaryota; Metazoa; Chordata; Mammalia; Rodentia; Cricetidae
Source: RNAcentral
ACAGGGCUUGUAAUAAUUUUAACACUGU